Long non-coding RNA from Hemibagrus wyckioides, 291 nucleotides. RefSeq lists it as uncharacterized. NCBI's taxonomy places the organism in Eukaryota, Metazoa, Chordata, Actinopteri, Siluriformes, Bagridae. The transcript is spliced from 2 exons. The record is from RefSeq and is a predicted model, not a curated record.
GGAAUUACCUCGUGUGGUGUGCGGUCGACUUUGCGACUGCGGGUGCUCGGCUCGGCGUGAUCUUUAUUGAUGUGCACUACGGAGGAUUUGGUGCUUUUCCUCACCAGGUGUCUCCUCACGCCAGGAACAUCCUCGAAACGAUUGUCAAAGAUUCCAAAAAGAAAUUCCAGUUAGCAUUUCCAUCAUAGUUUGGAGCUAUUAAUAAAAUAUUCCUGUAGGAAUUGUCUUUCAGGGCAAGAAACAAAUAAAGGGGUAGAGAAGAGAGAAGAAGGGAGGGGAAAAUUUUCAAGA